UACGGAGGGGGCUAGCGUUGUUCGGAAUUACUGGGCGUAAAGCGCACGUAGGCGGCUUUGUAAGUUAGAGGUGAAAGCCCGGGGCUCAACUCCGGAACUGCCUUUAAGACUGCAUCGCUUGAAUCAUGGAGAGGUCAGUGGAAUUCCGAGUGUAGAGGUGAAAUUCGUAGAUAUUCGGAAGAACACCAGUGGCGAAGGCGACUGACUGGACAUGUAUUGACGCUGAGGUGCGAAAGCGUGGGGAGCAAACAGG
RNAcentral lists this ribosomal RNA (253 nucleotides) under uncultured bacterium. RNAcentral's name for it is "partial 16S ribosomal RNA". It matches the Rfam family "Bacterial small subunit ribosomal RNA", at positions 524 to 776 of the family's 1533-position model. The record is from RNAcentral.